CCUCUUCUUCCUCACCGAGUGUUUCAUCGGCAACGGCUCCAUCUAUCCUUCCUCCUCUUCGGCGAGUGUUUCAUCCGCAACGUCUCCAACAUCCUCCUAAGGGCUAGCCACCGGAUUUCAGCUAGGAACCGGAGUUUGUGUCAGCGAAUUAGUUGGAAAAAGCUUAAUCCCUACCUAUUUGACAAUAGGGCAUAACAAAUGGAUAUUGAAGAGGAAUUGGUUGAAGGCGCGGAGCAAGAGAAUUACUCAGGGAUGGAGUAUUCCAAUGCGGAAGACUUUGAUACAGUAAGUUUACUUUGAAUGUAUAUUACCAUGUGCUUGUGCGAUCCAAAAUGCAUGACAUUGUAACAGUUUUACCACUUGCUUAUGCGAUUGGGCUUAUGUGGAAGAUAUGUGGUGAGAUUUUGUUAAGCAUUUGUAUCGCAUCUGAUAUGGCUGGGAGAAGAACAGGUUGAAACUCUAUAAUGCUAUUGAACAAAUUUUGAGGAA
Macadamia integrifolia is the source of this 489-nucleotide long non-coding RNA. RefSeq lists it as uncharacterized. The transcript is spliced from 3 exons. The record is from RefSeq and is a predicted model, not a curated record. NCBI's taxonomy places the organism in Eukaryota, Viridiplantae, Streptophyta, Magnoliopsida, Proteales, Proteaceae.